RNAcentral lists this transfer RNA (68 nucleotides) under Myotis lucifugus (little brown bat). It matches the Rfam family "tRNA". From Rfam's summary of the family: Transfer RNA (tRNA) molecules are approximately 80 nucleotides in length. Their secondary structure includes four short double-helical elements and three loops (D, anti-codon, and T loops). Further hydrogen bonds mediate the characteristic L-shaped molecular structure. tRNAs have two regions of fundamental functional importance: the anti-codon, which is responsible for specific mRNA codon recognition, and the 3' end, to which the tRNAs corresponding amino acid is attached (by aminoacyl-tRNA synthetases). tRNAs cope with the degeneracy of the genetic code in two manners: having more than one tRNA (with a specific anti-codon) for a particular amino acid; and 'wobble' base-pairing, i.e. permitting non-standard base-pairing at the 3rd anti-codon position. The record is from Rfam by way of RNAcentral. Lineage: Eukaryota; Metazoa; Chordata; Mammalia; Chiroptera; Vespertilionidae.
GCCAGCAUGGCUCAAUGGUUGAGCAUUGACCUAUGAACCAGUUCCUGGUUCGAUUCCAGGUCAGGGCA